CUUCCUUAAGUGACACUGCUGAAUUGUCAGAUUUCUCUAGGUCCAAAAUUUUUAUUAGGCACAAAUAUGCCUCUGAAUAUGCAUUCCUUUUAAGUAGCACCUGAUUGAGUUAUUGUGGCUAUACUGAUGUGAUUUGGAAGGAGCCAAGACCUUGUAGAGUGACUAGCCGCUGUUGCCACCAAAAUUCUAAUUUAAAUUGCUUGAAAUUCUACUUGAUAUCUCCCAAAGUAGAUAGCCAUGGCACCCCUAAAAUCAUGUCACACCCACUAAGAGG
This 274-nucleotide long non-coding RNA is filed under the name Elaeis guineensis (African oil palm). RNAcentral's name for it is "long non-coding RNA (EGUI_LNC042062)". Lineage: Eukaryota; Viridiplantae; Streptophyta; Magnoliopsida; Arecales; Arecaceae. The record is from RNAcentral.